GACGAACGCUGGCGGCGUGCUUAACACAUGCAAGUCGAACGGAAAGGCCCCCACCUUUUGGUGGGGGUGCUCGAGUGGCGAACGGGUGAGUAACACGUGGGUGAUCUGCCCUGUACUUCGGGAUAAGCUUGGGAAACUGGGUCUAAUACCGGAUAGGACCAUGGUUUAGUGUCUCAUGGUGGAAAAAUAUUGUUUUGGUGCAGGAUGAGCUCGCGGCCUAUCAGCUUGUUGGUGGGGUAAUGGCCUACCAAGGCGUCGACGGGUAGCCGGCCUGAGAGGGUGGACGGCCACAUUGGGACUGAGAUACGGCCCAGACUCCUACGGGAGGCAGCAGUGGGGAAUAUUGCACAAUGGGCGCAAGCCUGAUGCAGCGACGCCGCGUGGGGGAUGACGGCCUUCGGGUUGUAAACUCCUUUCGUUAGGGACGAAGCCGCACCUUUUUUGGGUGUGGUGACGGUACCUUUGUUAAGAAGCACCGGCUAACUACGUGCCAGCCGCCGCCGUAA
RNAcentral lists this ribosomal RNA (506 nucleotides) under uncultured bacterium. Its description in RNAcentral is "partial 16S ribosomal RNA". It matches the Rfam family "Bacterial small subunit ribosomal RNA", at positions 28 to 523 of the family's 1533-position model. The record is from RNAcentral.